This 301-nucleotide ribosomal RNA is filed under the name uncultured bacterium. RNAcentral's name for it is "partial 16S ribosomal RNA". It matches the Rfam family "Bacterial small subunit ribosomal RNA", at positions 509 to 809 of the family's 1533-position model. The record is from RNAcentral.
CAGUAGCCACGGGAAUACGUAGGGUGCGAGCGUUAAUCGGAAUUACUGGGCGUAAAGCGUGCGCAGGCGGUUUUGUAAGACAGGCGUGAAAUCCCCGGGCUCAACCUGGGAAUGGCGCUUGUGACUGCAAAGCUAGAGUGCGGCAGAGGGGGAUGGAAUUCCGCGUGUAGCAGUGAAAUGCGUAGAUAUGCGGAGGAACACCGAUGGCGAAGGCAAUCCCCUGGGCCUGCACUGACGCUCAUGCACGAAAGCGUGGGGAGCAAACAGGAUUAGAUACCCCUGUAGUCCCUGUCUCUUAUCC